This 253-nucleotide ribosomal RNA is filed under the name uncultured bacterium. RNAcentral describes it as "partial 16S ribosomal RNA". It matches the Rfam family "Bacterial small subunit ribosomal RNA", at positions 524 to 776 of the family's 1533-position model. The record is from RNAcentral.
UACAGAGGUCCCAAGCGUUGUUCGGAUUCAUUGGGCGUAAAGGGUGCGUAGGCGGCGCCGUAAGUCAGGUGUGAAAUCUCGGGGCUUAACUCCGAAACUGCAUUUGAUACUGCGGUGCUUGAGGACUGGAGAGGAGACUGGAAUUUACGGUGUAGCGGUGAAAUGCGUAGAUAUCGUAAGGAAGACCAGUGGCGAAGGCGGGUCUCUGGACAGUUCCUGACGCUGAGGCACGAAGGUCAGGGGAGCAAACGGG